Molecule: ribosomal RNA, 446 nt
Filed under: uncultured Chloroflexota bacterium
Lineage: Bacteria; Bacillati; Chloroflexota
Description: bacterial SSU rRNA
Rfam family: Bacterial small subunit ribosomal RNA
Source: RNAcentral
GAUGAACGCUGGCGGUGCGCCUAAUACAUGCAAGUCGAACGAUCCUUCGGGAUAGUGGCGAACGGGUGCGUAACACAUGGGAAACCUACCCUAAAGUGGGGAAUAACUGGUCGAAAGGUCAGCUAAUACCGCAUAUGCUCACGAGUUGAAAUACUAGUGAGGAAAGAUUUAUCGCUUUAGGAGGGGCCUGUGGCUGAUUAGCUUGUUGGUGAGGUAAGAGCUCACCAAGGCGAUGAUCAGUAGCUGGACUGAGAGGUUGGCCAGCCACACUGGGACUGCGACACGGCCCAGACUCCUACGGGAGGCAGCAGUAAGGAAUCUUCCGCAAUGGACGAAAGUCUGACGGAGCGACACCGCGUGGGGGAUGAAGGCCUUCGGGUUGUAAACUCCUUUUCUGUAUGACGAAAUUUUGACGGUAAUACAGGAAUAAGUAUCGGCUAACUACG